AAUACAUCCACAGGUACACCUCCAAUAGCCUGUCAGAAGCUAAUUGGCUAAUUUUCUAAAGGCUUGACAUCAUUUUCUGGAAUUAUCCAAGCUGCUUAAAGGUAUAGUUAACUUAGUGUAUGUAAACUUCUGACUCACUGGAAUUGUGAUAUAGUCAAUUAAAAGUGAAACAAUCUGUCUGUAAACAAUUGCUGGAAAAAUUACUCGUGUCAUGCACAAAGUAGAUGUCCUAAACGACUUGCCAAAACUAUAGUUUGCUAAUGUUAAAUCUGUGGAGUUGUUAAAAAAUGAGUUUUAAUGACUUCAACAUAAGUGUAUGUAAACUUCUGACUUCAACUGUACAUCAUUUUGUGUGUGUGUGUGUUUACAUCCGGAAGAUGCAUUUUUAGGUUGUUUGCUCAUCUGCAAUAUGUCUAUAAGACGUUUCCUCUCAGAUGUCAGUAAGACAUUCAGAAGAUGUCUUUGAGACAUUUAUGAUUUAGAAUGUUUGUAAAUCUGAUCUUUUUAAGAUGUUUAGCAGAUGUUUAUUAGAUUGUGAUGCUUUCGGAGAUGUACGUGUGCUAUCUGGGGUUGCUUGUGAAAAUGGGGGAUAUUUUACUGUUUUUGAGAGGUGGAAAUAUGAAAUUAAAAGUUAAGCUCAAUCGACAACAUUUGUGCCAUAAUGUUAAAAGCACUUACAUUAAUUCUUCUGUUAAAACUUGCGUAUUAUUUUUGUAAUACAUUAUUUGUGUAUUUAUCUGAGCUGUAAAGUUCUUUAAAUCAUAAUUUUUACAGGGUUUGUUCACAUCGUCAUGGCAAUGUAGUUGUAAAAUUGUCUGUAACUUUACACAGAAAAGGUUAAUGAGCAAUUAUAUCGCACUAAAAUCAUGUUAACACCCAUAUUGUUUGUCUCGUGGCAAUACUUUUAAAACCGUGAGUAUUUUAAAGUUUACGGAUUGGCCCCAUUAACGUCCAUUGUAAGUGCCUCACCAUAACCCAGAUUUUUGCUCUCUCUUUUUUUUUUUUUUUUUUUUUUUUGUGCUUUAAACAAAAAAUUACUUUUUUUUGUAAUCAAUAUUAUGCCACAAAUGCUGUCGAUUUAGCUUAACUUGUAUUAAACACGGAAUAUUCCUUUAAUAAAGCAUUAAUAAAAAGUACCAUGGGUUUUUUUUUUUUUUUUUUGCCUACCAUACCACCACAGCACUUGUUUUGUAAAAGUUUAGUUAAUAAUAUUUCACACAAAUUCUAUUUUUAUUUUGCUUGUAAAUGCCCUGACCUAUAUACUGUAUUUGACAUUUAACCAGGCUGAUGAGUUUGUGUGCAUAUAGUAUGUUUAGUGUGUAAAUAUUUGAUUGUGUAGCCAUAUGGGAUCUAUAUUUUUUUCUUAUGCCCUAUUGUUCAUCCUCUUAGCUACAUCUGAAUAAAAUAAUCAAUGGUCCAAUGGUAAGGCUUUUAUGACAUCCCCAACAUUGUUUUGCCAUCCACAAGGCAUCUCACUAGUGGUCUCUAAGCUCUCUCUCUGAAAUGUGUUUGGAAUAUCAUGUAGCCUUUAGAUUGUUUAAGCUCUACUUAACCCAUAUUAAGGUUACAUUAUAUCUCUUAUUAGGAGAAGAUCUGACCUGAACUCAUUAGUUGCAUCAAUAAUGAUCAAUGCAGCAGAAGCUUUAAACAAGCAUCACGAACGCUCUACUCUUAAGUCAGUGUUAAGAAGCUUAAGAAACCCAGUUCAGCAAACCAGUUGGCGUCAUCAAUUACAACCAGCAAGGACACAAUGAGAUUAUCACCUAAUGCAAUGUUCUGCAUCCUAAUAUCUCACCUUGGUGGACAUGUUUUACAUACAGGUACAUCAUUUGACAUGAUAAGAUCAGAAACUUUGCAUGGAAGCAUCAAUAUUUUAUUUUGUACUUCCUCAUGAAAAUUGAACAUCUUAAAAUGUCAUGUAACAGAGAGAUAGUUGUGGUCAUGUGAGAGCAAUGGUUCUGGUUUUAAUUAAUGCUUUCAUAACAUCUGAUCUGAUAUUAGAAAGUUUAUUCAAAUGUUAGAUAAUCCCUCUUCUUUUUUAAAGCAGUUGGACUAAAGAUUGUCAUGGCAAGUUAUAUACAAACAACUGAGUUACCAUUACCUUUCCGUCAGCUCGAACCAGUCUGGCCAUUCUCCGUUGACCUCUCUCAUCAACAAGGUGUUUCUGUCCACAGAACUGCCUCUCACUGGAUGUUUUUUGUUUUUGGCACCAUUCUGAGUAAAUUCUAGACCCUUUUGUGCAUGAAAAUCCCAGGAGAUCAGCAGUUACAGAAAUACUCAAACCAGCCCAUCUGGUACCAUCAAUCAUGCCACGGUUGAAAUCACUGAGAUCUCAUUUUUUCCACAUUCCAAUGGUUGAUGUGAAAAUUAACUGAAGCUCCUGACCCGUAUCUGCAUGAUUGUAUACAUUACACUGCUGCUACACGAUUGGCUGACGAUUGCCGUAGAGUGAUAAAGAAUAUCUGUUCCUUGAACUUCUUUGGCUUAAAUAUCCAUAAAAUUAUGAUUUUAAGUACUAUUAACUCAAACUAUCAAGUACAGAACUGAGGAUGUGGGGAAUACCCAGAAAUGUGCUUGAAUAAUUAAAUAAAUAUUCCAGGUUCAGUACAAGUUAAUCAAUAUUAUGGCAAAAAUUCUGUCGAUUGAUUUAUAACUUGUAUUGAACACGGAAUAUACCUUUAAGUGUGUUUGUUCGGUCAGAAGUACCAAACUUAUUACAGAUAUUUUAGUUCUUUUUAGUAUUAUUGAUGUUGUUGUACUGUAAUUCGUUUUUUUGUGUAAAGUCACCAUAAGGGUGUUCCCUUUGGUGAAGUUGGAACCUGUUCAAUCCAUGUAAUUUUUCCAUGCCCAUGUCAAUGUGUUUAGCUGCAGUGCAACUUUAUUUGCACUUCUUUGGGAAAGACCUCAAGAUUGAAGAACAGUUUUUUUUUUUCAUAGGCAGUCAGACUUCUCAACAACUUGGCCUGACUGCUUACACAAACAUCCAUACGGACUCAUUGCACUCCCCCCACCAUAUUACACAUACAUUUAUUGCACUAAUUAACAAAUACAUCACCCCAGCCACCUUAAAAACUGUGACAAAUUGCUGAAAUAAGUUUUGCACAAUUUACCUUGCCGUUGGUACAGGAUUUUGCACUAGCGGUUUUAUAACUGCUUGUCUAUUGUUUGUAUUUAUAUAGUCUAUUUCUUGUAUUUAAAUUGCCUAUAGUCUGUAUAUACUGUCCCUCAUGUCUGGACAUACUGUCACUCAUGUCUAUUUAUUGUCUGUCUGUAACGUGGUGCUACUGUGCUGCUGUAAUUCUGCUAAAUGUUGAAUGUUUGCACCAAGGUUUCCUGGAGAACUGUAUUUUGUUUUUCUCCCUCAAAGGAAAAAAUGACAAUAAACCUGACUUUGACUUUGAUAUUUUAAGUAAAUCCAACACAUAAUUCUUUUCAGUGUACAAUGACUUUAAAAAAUAACCCAACUCUGAAAAAUGUUAUUUCGUAAAAAGUGUGACAAAUAUCCCCAAUCUCUUCUAUUUCAGAUCUAAAUACCCAGUUCUAAAGCCCAUGUAAACAUAGGUACUUUUGGUCAACACUAUCAAAUUUUCUUUGUUUGUACUUUAAAGCUAACUAACCCCUAACCCAUGUUAUUGUUUGCUAGCAUAUGUUGCAUGUCUUGACCCUAGAGACACUAUUUCAUCCUCUCUUUUAUAUGUACCUGUAUAAGUGCUGAAUAAUCAUAAACCAAACCUGACUUGAAUACAAAUUUGGCAUGUAUUUCAGAAGUUCUCCAGUUAUAUCCAAGUACACACACACACACACAGACACUGUCCCUUCACAAAAAGACAGACAGGAUUUCACGCAGACAUGUGACCUGUUAUAUAAGCACCAAAAGCUUUAUAACAGUCUGUAGAGCCAAGUGUCUAAGGGAUAGGGCAGAGCUGGUGUGAGGGUGUGUGUGUGGACAGGAUAUUUUUAGUUGUCAGAACGGAGGAAUCGAUCUGGUCCAAGAGACGCUGCUGAGAUGUUCUUCCGCAUUCCUCUUUUGACACCUGGAUACAUUCGAUACCUGCAGACCCAGGCAGCACGGACUGGACUGCAGAGGGAGGGGCCCUUUGUACCCCGCUUUGCCAUGCUUCUGGGCCUUGUGGGCAUUGGAAUGUCGGGAUACAGCUCUCGCCAACUGACCUUGUACCACAAGCCUUCGCCACACCUCCUGCGGUGAAUGUAUAAAGCAGAAAGAUGAGUAAAGGGGUUUGAAGAAAAACAUUCACCAUCUCUAAUGCUUUGAGGUGUUCCCCUCCUUGAUUGUGUUUCAAUUUCUACAUCUGUUUUUAUUUUGACUCCGCUAAGUUCACCACAUCAUGCUGAAGCUCAUAGUCUUGGUUUGGUUACGAGGAUGGCCGAUCCUUAACCAAGCUCUACCAAGCUUGUUCUUUGAUUCAUUGCCUUAGCGGGCAGAGUAAAUUAAAUGCUAUGACCAUGACUAAUCUAUUUUUAAAAUGUUUUAAUUUAAGCACAUUAGUGCUGUCACACUUGAGCUCAGUUUCAAAUGCAACUCAAUUGGUCUUCUUCCAAGUCCACACAUUGGACUGUUAGGUAGUAGUCCGUUGUGGAAUCAAAUUUUGAACCAAUGACAAAUGGGACACCCGGCAGUCUUGUGCACUGCACAGACAUGUGCAAGCGAAGGCCACAAGACCGCAGGUCAAAAUUGGGUCCAUUUAGUACUAAAAUACUUUUUUGACAAAGUGUGCUGUGAAGGUUUUAUCUAUCCCCAAAAUAUGCUUAUAUUUACUGUUUAUACACUUCUUGAUAUCCACUAAAGAAGGUCAGCAAGAUCACCUAUUUAAAUAUUAUAUAAGUGGAGCAGCAUGCACAUUUUGGUAUUUGGUUUACCAUAAGAUGAGACUUAAGAGUCUUUGCCGGGAAUAACAGGCUCUUUGGUCGAAAGCCAGCAGCUCAGGCAACACUUACACAGUAUGUCACAGCGGAAACAUUAUUUUGAAGCAUGACUUCACCUUUUAUUGAUUACUUUAAGUAAUUCUAAUGGAUUGCUCAAACAAUGAAUAGAGCAAUUUCAGCAGGUCACAUUCAUAGCCAUGAGUCAUUAUUUACAGCAGGCCAGGGCUAUCGUUUAAAUACACUGAGCAUUUAACAUUGAAUUUGUCAAAGGCAGGCAAUGUCUCUGAAACAGGGUUGAAAUGGGAAAGGAGGCGGCGGGAACCGGCUGAACAAUCAAAGUAAUAUUUUAAUAGGAACUUAAACAUAAAGGCAAAAACAUAAACGCACACAUGGCAGCUGCAUGUGGCUCUCUCUCUCCUAAACUUCCGCAUUCCGCUGCACUUAUCCCUCUCCUCGGCUGAUUAGCCCGAUUGGGGUCCGGGCGUGCAUAGUCAUGGCCCGGCCCCACCCUCCUCCUCGUCACAGUCUCUUUUAAUAUGGCUGUCAGAAAGUUACACUGAGUAAUUAUGUUUUGCACAAGAUUAUAUGUAUUUAAAGGAAUGCUCCGGGUUCAAUGCAAGUUAAGCUCAAUCUACAGCAUUUUCUGGCAUAAUGUUGAUAAAUACAAAUAAUAAUAAUAAAAAAGCAAUAAUCGCAGUUACAGUAAGGCACUUACAAUGGAAGUGAAUGGGGCCAGUCCAUAAACAUUCAAAUAUACACUGUUUCAAAAGUAUAGCCACAAGACACAAACAUUAUAAGUGUUAACAUGAUUUUAGUGUCAUAAAUGUGCUUACUAACCUUUUCUGUGUACAUUUAUAUCCAAUAUUACAACUUCGUUGUCAAGACGAUGUAACUCGGUAAACCCUGUAAUCUGGUAAAUGCCAUAACGGCAGUAAAUCUCUGAUUUUAUGACACUAAAAUCAUGUUAACAUGUAUAAUGUUUGUGUUUUGUGGCUAUACUUUUGAAACAGUGUGUAUUUUAACAUUUAUGGACUGGCCCCAUUCACUUCCAUUAUAAGUGCUACACUGUAACUGGAUUAUUUUUAUUUAUUUAUUUAUUUAUUUUUGAAUAAACGAGGGAUGAGUCUAAAUGAUUUUUUGUUGUAAUCAACAUUAUGCAACAGAUGUUUUCGAUUAAGCCUAACCUACCAGAGCUCUACCAGGGAAUGUAAAUAUUGCUGAUUUGCACAACAAUGUAGAUUUGUAUUUAUUAUCAAUAAAUGCUCAUAAAAUGAACAAAUGUACAUAUUUUAUAUUCUUACAUAUAUUAUUUAUUUAAUACAUGUUUGUUUGUAUAAAUGUUUUAGAAUUCCAAUGUACAGACCAUUCUAAUCUGCAAAAUAAGUUUAAUGAAUUACUUUCUUAUUACAUUUUGUAUGUGAACAGUAUUGGUGUUAUAAGUGUAUAUAAAAUGUAAACUGUAAUGUAUUCAUACAGUAUGUGAAUAUGUGAUUGCACUAUAUUCUUUAGUUUUGAGAGUAGGACAGUGUUUCUGUGAUGGCCGCCUGAAGCCCCAGCUUUGCCACGCAGUGAUGUGGCAAAGCUAAAUCUGAGCUUGGCACUCUGGCCUGCCAACCUCAGUGCCCGAGAGUAAACAGACGUCAGCAUGCAGAAUAUCCAAAUGUCCAUUCAGAACACUGACCUAUCAGAAACUCUCUCCUAUAGAUACCUGAUCAGUACGAUCUCUUAAAGUGUGCUGCUUUAUGGAAAAUGUAUGUUGUUUUGGCACUGAUGUACUGUAUGUAAUGAAUGUGAAUGUCUCACCGACAGCAAAAUGCCAUUGAUGUCAUGAAUGGGAUGGGUCAUGUAAUGGUGUCAUGAUAUCUCAACUGUGUAUUGAAGAAGAGGAGCUUAAAAUGGCUUAAUCUGCUACUUGUACUCAUCCAAUUUGAGAUGGCUGCUAAUCAAAGACCUUUAUUUAAAAACCUCAUCAACAAACGAACAACUGCAUGAGCAAAUGUCUUUGCAAUUAUGUGGAAAUAUACAAUCUUACAGUUAUACUGUAGAUUUCUUGAUUUAACCAUUCAAAUUGGGAAUGUUGCGCUGUUCUGAUUUAGUGUGGAUGAUGUCUAACUGAUUUGCAGUGGUUUUGUUGUUGGAUUUACAGACUAAUGCACUUUGAUGACAGAAAUGAUUGUAUUUUCAAAGCACUUUGUGAAUAAAGAGAGAUUAAUAUA
Myxocyprinus asiaticus (Chinese sucker) is the source of this 7100-nucleotide long non-coding RNA. RefSeq lists it as uncharacterized. The transcript is spliced from 2 exons. NCBI's taxonomy places the organism in Eukaryota, Metazoa, Chordata, Actinopteri, Cypriniformes, Catostomidae. The record is from RefSeq and is a predicted model, not a curated record.